Molecule: long non-coding RNA, 376 nt
Organism: Passer montanus (Eurasian tree sparrow)
Lineage: Eukaryota; Metazoa; Chordata; Aves; Passeriformes; Passeridae
Exons: 2
Source: RefSeq, a predicted model, not a curated record
GCUUUAUUUGGAAGGACACUGGGGGAGAGCAGAUUAAACAGACUUUUGACUGUAUUCAAUUUUCUCUAGUUUGGGGAGAUUUUGCACCUUUCUUGAAGAUUGUAUCAACUGGGAUUAGCGCAUUCCAUUUCCUGCACUCCUCAUAAGGCUGAGAACUAAAGAAAAUUAAAAUAAAGAAAACAGGCCGUGGAGAAACCUGCAAAUCAUCAAAACCUAUGCUGUCCGAGGAAGGCAAGAAGAAACACUGCCCACAAUGGCUAGACACUCUCCAACUGCAGCAUGGAAAGAUGUGACUUACGAGAGAGAUGCUACAAAAAGUGAUACCUGAAGCACUAAAUGCUAAAACAUAAAAAAUAAAGCAUGCAUAAAAUGAAAA